Orcinus orca (killer whale) is the source of this 826-nucleotide long non-coding RNA. RefSeq lists it as uncharacterized. The transcript has 3 exons. NCBI's taxonomy places the organism in Eukaryota, Metazoa, Chordata, Mammalia, Artiodactyla, Delphinidae. The record is from RefSeq and is a predicted model, not a curated record.
CUGGACCAGUCAACCCUAUGAGAAGCGCCAUGGAAGUGUUAAAGAAGAGGAUCUAGAGGCCAGAAUAUACGAUAGCAGAAAAGCUUCAGAAGUAUGGAUGAUCUUAGGAUGAGGAAGUUGAGGUGCAAAUAUGCUAAGAUGAUUCCUUGUCUCACAGAAGUGUCAGGGCUAGGAUCUGAACCCAGGGAGUCUGGUGCUGAGGAGAACCUUAUCUGCCUUCUAAUGUAUGAUGUGAACACACCAGUAAGGGCUACGGUCAGUCUCCAUCUCCUAAAAUUGUGCUGCUCACCAGAUGCACCGACAUCACCUGGGAGCUUAUGAAAAAUGCAGCAUCUCAACCUCACCCCAGACCUACCAAAUUUUAAUUUGCAUUUUAAGAAGAUCCCCAGAUGACUCUAGGGUCCACACAAGGCUAUUAUAGUUCUUUUGUGCUUGGUUUCCCUCUUUACUCUCUGGGUCUUCUGACCAUUUCAUCUGGUUCCUGACCCAGCUUUCGGCCCUGGACUUCAGACCCACCCUUGUCAUGAACCGCAACUUGUUACCCCUUGGAUCCUGAACUAAGUCUGACGGUAGAUGCCGUAUUCGUGUGACCCCCCCCGUGAGCAUGGAGUGCUUUUUCUGUAAAUCACCACAUGUUGGGGCCAGAGCCAGCCCACUCUCAGAAAAGUUAGCAUUAGAGCUGCCUGAGAACAGACGCACCCAAUCUCUAUAACUAGCGUGCCGCCCUACCCACAGUAUAAGACGUCAUAAUUUUCUCCCCCAAAUAAAUAGAAUAUCAAAAGAUUUUCUUUUACAGUUUUUUAAAUUGAGGUAACAUUGGUUUAAA